Girardinichthys multiradiatus is the source of this 714-nucleotide long non-coding RNA. RefSeq lists it as uncharacterized. Lineage: Eukaryota; Metazoa; Chordata; Actinopteri; Cyprinodontiformes; Goodeidae. The record is from RefSeq and is a predicted model, not a curated record. The transcript has 4 exons.
CGCCGUUAAAGAGAGAUUCCACAUGGCUUCAUUAUUCUCUCACCUCUGCCCACAGCAAACAAGCAACUUUACUAUUUUAUCUUGAGAUGAGCUUCAAACCAAAGAGCCAUAAAGGCCUGGGAGAUGAGGAGAGGAUGACGAGGAUGACGAGGAUUUGCCAGCGAUGGGGUUUGGCCGUCAAAUGCAGGAAAUCCACAAUCAGAAGAAGUGGCAUGCUCUCUAUCAGAAGCUAAGGCUUACCCAGUGUUUUAGUCUCCUGUGUGUGUAGUGAGGCAUAUGAAAAAGGGGAGACAUGAUUAAUUGUCAUUUAUGAGAUGAUGUACUGUUUCAGAUUGAAAAAUGCCCCAUCCAAUCACGAGGACAGACCACCUUUUUUGGAGUGUCUGCAAGCUGCGAUUGUAGCUUUCAUGCUGCCAAGCCUCCUCCUCCUGUGGCCCCACAAUCAGUGGCUUCAGAAUCCACCUCUUAUGCUCCACAGUCUUUCCUGAGUUCAUUAAAUCACACUUUGGUGGGUCUCAUACGGAUUCAUUGAAGCCCAACUUGGUUGCUCGCAUACCACCGUGCCCCUCUCUGCCCUCUGUGAGGACCCGUAGCCUGACACCUUCCUCUGUGAGGACCUCUGGUCCCUCUCCAUCCUCUGUGAGGACCCCUAGCUUGACACCUUCCUCUGUGAGGACCUCUGGUCCCUCUGCAUCCUCUGUGAGGACCCCUAGC